UAAUACAGAGGGGGCAAGCGUUGUUCGGAAUUACUGGGCGUAAAGGGCGCGUAGGCGGCCGCCUAAGUCAGACGUGAAAUCCCUCGGCUCAACCGGGGAACUGCGUCUGAUACUGGGUGGCUUGAAUCCGGGAGAGGGAUGCGGAAUUCCAGGUGUAGCGGUGAAAUGCGUAGAUAUC
Molecule: ribosomal RNA, 178 nt
Filed under: uncultured bacterium
Lineage: Bacteria
Description: partial 16S ribosomal RNA
Rfam family: Bacterial small subunit ribosomal RNA
Source: RNAcentral